CUCUCCCCUCACACGGCCUCCCUCUUUUCCCCCAAAAACCUAUCACGUGCCUUCCGUUUCCAAUUGCAAAUGAAGCGUCUUGGCUUCCGGUGGUUUCCAAUUGCAAAAUGAGAUCAGUUGUAUUAAUUUAGGUCACGUGAAGAGGUUUCAGGUAUCAAUGGCGGAUUAUCUCUCUGGGUGAAAUUGUAAGUAAAAUUAAGUUGUCUUUCAUAUUUUAUAAUAUGUGUCUUUUUUCUGGAUUGCUAGCAAUGUUCUUGUAGGUCUCCUAGGGUUUCAAUUGGCAUGGAAGGUAAGUUUAAUACAAGAAAUCGAUUUGGGUUUGCUUUUUUCUGUAAGUUGACGUGAUUACAUAUGUUGGUUUGGGUUGCAUGAUUGAUAAUUCAUCAAUCGAAUGUAUGAUAUUGGAUUUGGGAUUUUUUUUUUAUUUUUUUUUUAAUUUUAUUGACUUGAGUGGCUUAAAUUAGGAUUAAUUGUCUUGGUAAUGCUAAAUUAAAGUAAUCUAUGGGACAAAGCUAUAAUGCACCUUCCAGAUGUUAUACGAUCCGUACAAGUAAGUAACAUUACACAUUCACCUUUUGAUUUGGGUAUAACUUUUUUCUGACUACUUCUUUUUUAUUUUGCAACCUCAAGGAGGUAUGAUCCUCUGCAUAAUGGACAUGCUAUUAUAGAUGAACUGGAUGCGCUCUUAAAAGGACUGAUUGGACUUCAAGUGCACAUAUCAUAACUGUAGUCAUCCCUCUGACAUGUUGUCACUGGUAUGUGCCAUCGCGCAGCUGGUUUGAUCGCAGGACCGAUGGUUCUGUUACUGUAGUUUAGACUAAUGCUUUAAUCAUUUUCACUCACCGCUCUUGUUGCCUACACAAAUAGAGUUUUUAGUUCUUUAUUUAAUUAAGGCCUCUGAUCUAUGGUAGGAAAGUAGUUGUACUAGAAGAAGGUUUGAACAUUAUGCGAUAUCCUUUUUUUAACAUAUGUUUGUCACUCCUUUUUUUCUAACUUGGAGGGGUCUUUUUCGUUGUUCCUCGCAUUUGUAGGCUUACUUGUGAUACCAGGUUCCCUUUGUUAAAUGCAAUCUGUAUUAUGAUUUUAUAUAGUUUAUUUCAUAUAGUUGUUAUUAAUUAGUACAAUAAGAAAAGCACAUUGACCAAAAUAUAAUUUUUGCUAAAGGUGGCUAAGUGGCCGGGUCAUGAGGUCGAAUGGGUUGGGUACAUGGUAUCACAAUCGUUCGUAUAUUAGGGGAGAUAGUUAAUAGCAAAUCCAUUCCACCCCAAUUGAUUCAAUCGACCAUUUGGUAGGGAAGAUAUGUACUUCAAAAACUCCUGCUCUCUAAAUAUUUAUACUUAAAACACAAAUGUUUUUAAAAUUUUAUAUAUUUUCAGGUUGAAGACUUCAACCGGAGACAAAAAAAAACCAGUAAAGCGGGUCAAAAUCAUCUCAAAAGCAACGAUAUCAUCUGAAAUAUCAUUCCAAACCAAAUGAUGUUGCAAAGGGACAUGGAGACUAACAGUAAUAGAAAUAACGGUUUUGAGAAUGGUGGAAAAUGCUCAUCCGUGUCGGCAGACAAGGUAUCGUCGAAUGUCUAGAUCUAGAAGCAUAUAACUAUUUCUUUGGUGCUGUCGAAUAAGGCACGCACACAACGGACGCUAUCUUUAUCGGAUGAUGUGACAUUUGUUUUGCUGAUGUCGUUGUACAUGUACAUGUAGGAGUAUAGCUUGCUAUAAGUUUUUUUUAUCAUUGGCAUUUGUUCUCUA
Long non-coding RNA from Helianthus annuus (common sunflower), 1748 nucleotides. RefSeq lists it as uncharacterized. Lineage: Eukaryota; Viridiplantae; Streptophyta; Magnoliopsida; Asterales; Asteraceae. The record is from RefSeq and is a predicted model, not a curated record. The transcript is spliced from 3 exons.